UGGGGAAUAUUGCACAAUGGGCGCAAGCCUGAUGCAGCCAUGCCGCGUGUAUGAAGAAGGCCUUCGGGUUGUAAAGUACUUUCAGCGGGGAGGAAGGUGUUGUGGUUAAUAACCACAGCAAUUGACGUUACCCGCAGAAGAAGCACCGGCUAACUCCGUGCCAGCAGCCGCGGUAAUACGGAGGGUGCAAGCGUUAAUCGGAAUUACUGGGCGUAAAGCGCACGCAGGCGGUCUGUCAAGUCGGAUGUGAAAUCCCCGGGCUCAACCUGGGAACUGCAUCCGAAACUGGCAGGCUUGAGUCUUGUAGAGGGGGGUAGAAUUCCAGGUGUAGCGGUGAAAUGCGUAGAGAUCUGGAGGAAUACCGGUGGCGAAGGCGGCCCCCUGGACAAAGACUGACGCUCAGGUGCGAAAGCGUGGGGAGCAAGCA
This 427-nucleotide ribosomal RNA is filed under the name uncultured bacterium. Its description in RNAcentral is "partial 16S ribosomal RNA". It matches the Rfam family "Bacterial small subunit ribosomal RNA", at positions 355 to 774 of the family's 1533-position model. The record is from RNAcentral.